CUUGAUUUCCUGCUCUUCUGGGAGAAGAUGUUCAUUUUUCUCACCAUCUGUGGCACCUUCUGGGAUUUCAUCACUGUGCCUCAGGGAAUGGACUGAAUACAAUUUUCUGUAUAUAGGAUGGGACUCAGUCUCAAAGUGUA
RNAcentral lists this long non-coding RNA (140 nucleotides) under Mustela putorius furo (domestic ferret). RNAcentral describes it as "lncRNA (ENSMPUG00000029072.1)". Lineage: Eukaryota; Metazoa; Chordata; Mammalia; Carnivora; Mustelidae. The record is from RNAcentral.